UUCUUUCCUUAAUAACAGGGGUAGGCACCUGCAGAGUGUGACGCUGCCAGUAGUGUCAGGUCUUGAUACACCUUUUCCAAAGUGGGAAUCAUAUGGUGAUGGAAUGCUCCCACUGAAUGAUGAACUUAAAGAACACAAUUUCAACAGGGGGAGAUGGUCCAAACAAAAAGGACUGGUCCAUGUCUGGUACACAGGAUACUUUUACAUAACAUCAGAGAUACUGCCAGAAGGAAAGACUGUUCUUCAAGCAGCCCUUGGAGGGAAACAUGGAGUUCUUCUGACUGAAGAAAUUACGAAGAAAAUGGCUCUUCAAUUUUCUAUCUUAUGUGGAGGCAACAUUUCUGCAUCAGAUUCAGCCUGUGGGAAAAGGAAUGAGGCUUCUUCUAUGAUCCAUUCAGGUUAGUCCUUCCUGAAGUAGCAAAGCAUGUGUCAUUUUAAAACAUGAUUGUAAUUCCUCUUUCAGUGCCACCGACUUUGUCAUGUGGAAAAUUUUUGGCAGGUUUUGGCAAUAAGGUGUCUAUCAGACAAUUUUCAUGGGAUUAGGGUUUUACAUUUGUUAUGAAUCUCGGGAGAGAAUUAGGAGAAGAAAAAUAAAUAAUAAAAGUAAAUUCAUGUUUUCAAUUUAAUUUUAUUUAAAAACCUACUGUACAGAUGUAAUACUAAUCCAAAAGCAUAUGUCCCCAGUUUCAUAAACACAUUAUUUUUAGAGUCCCUCUCAAAAUUAUAAGGAAAGGAAAAUUCAGUCAGUAAUAGCAAAUGGUUGGCUGGCCAAAUUGUUUUCAGGAAGACUGGCUCUCAAAUUGAAUAGACAAAUGUUGUGUUUUAAGACUGUUGAUUGUUAAUAAUAGCUAAUGCCUAAAUGGCAUUUCC
This 870-nucleotide long non-coding RNA is filed under the name Macaca mulatta (Rhesus monkey). RNAcentral describes it as "lncRNA (ENSMMUG00000048746.2)". The record is from RNAcentral. Lineage: Eukaryota; Metazoa; Chordata; Mammalia; Primates; Cercopithecidae.